UCAUACCUAUGAUGAGUUGCGAACUGUAUUGCCUACAUUGUUUGAUACUAUGAGAAGCUUAUGCAACUUCUGAGGAUGA
This is a non-coding RNA of Triticum urartu, 79 nucleotides long. The record is from Rfam. Lineage: Eukaryota; Viridiplantae; Streptophyta; Magnoliopsida; Poales; Poaceae.